RNAcentral lists this unclassified non-coding RNA (221 nucleotides) under Glomus sp. RNAcentral's name for it is "partial contains 5.8S ribosomal RNA and internal transcribed spacer 2". The stretch from base 1 to 65 matches the Rfam family "5.8S ribosomal RNA", at positions 84 to 154 of the family's 154-position model. Lineage: Eukaryota; Fungi; Glomeromycota; Glomeromycetes; Glomerales; Glomeraceae. The record is from RNAcentral.
GUGAAUCAUCGAAUUUUUGAACGCAAAUUGCACUCUCUUCGGAGAGUAUGCCUGUUCGAGGGUCAGCCUAAAAAAAAUCGACAUCGAUGCUGUUUCGCGGGGGCGGUGGUCGGAAACUGGGUUUUCUUUAAUCUUUGUUUUAAGCGACUUAAAAUUUUCUUUACGAUUCCAUUAACGGUUUCAUUAUUUUGUUCUUUACACGCUUAAGUAUUUGUUUUUAU